This is a long non-coding RNA of Diceros bicornis minor, 4013 nucleotides long. RefSeq lists it as uncharacterized. NCBI's taxonomy places the organism in Eukaryota, Metazoa, Chordata, Mammalia, Perissodactyla, Rhinocerotidae. The record is from RefSeq and is a predicted model, not a curated record. The transcript is spliced from 3 exons.
GUCUCAAACUGAAAAAGUAAAAAUAUUUAUAUAUAUAUAUUUAAGAAAUUUAAAAAUUAAUGGCUGUAAAUUCAAAGGAAAUUCUAGGCUUCUGAAGGACAGUAAAUUCAUGUUGGAAAAAAGUGAAGCUUCUGCAGGUGGGUGUGGCUGAGGAGAGGAUGUUUAGGGCUGAAGCCAUUCAAGAUACUUUAUUCACAAAAGCAGCAAACUCUGGCCAAGUGGCACCUUUAAAAUGAUCCAUGGAGGGAUUUUUCAUUUUGGAAAGCAGGUUUAUUAGUGAAAUUGUUACAAGUAUUAAUAUCUGGAAUGUUAUUUUCUUGCUAAUCAUGCUGUAAUGGGUUACGCUGGGAUAAUAUAACUGCUCCGAGUACAUAACUUACCAAAGCUGCCUACCUCCAUGAUGACUUAUGGCUUUGGCCCUCAUUAGCUCCAUGGUUGCACUGACUGCUGUUGAGAGCCACAGUAAGAGUCUUGUACAAGUUUGAGAGAGCCUCAAGUUUAAUGUCAUAAAUAACUAUAGAAUGAAACAGUCAUUGCUUUUUACAGAAACCCAAUAAAACUGCUUUAUAGAGAGAGAAUAAGUGAUUGUUUACCCAAUAAAAGGAAUGCAAGCUUGACACCUGCAAACAUUGGGACCACUAUUAGCUCUCAGCUCCACACAUGAUAGGAUUGCCUUCAAAGACAUCUUCUCACUGUCAUAGGCCAUUCUUUCCACCUGGCAAGUGGAGAUAGGAACAAGUCUUGCAAAUCUUAUUUAAAAGUUGCAGCACGUAUUGCCUAAGUACACUGGACUAGUCGCAAUGCCACCAGCACACCAUUUUAUUGCUGGCUCUUAUGCAGGGGAUUCCCACCCUGUGCACGCUACAGAAUGCAAAUUUAUAUAUAUUACUGUGUGUCCUGAAAGGAUGCCACUCGCAAAAUCAGUCCACACAGUCCAGGCCAUGGAAUGGCAGUGUUGCACAAAGUCUUACACAUGAGAUAGUCCUGAGCAAAGACAACACAGAGUAUGUUCUUCCUUAAGAAGCAGUUUUGAUGUUAUUACCCUGAAUAUCAUCAGGACAUGUGUUGUUUUGUGGGGAACUGAUGGAAUGAGGACAAUGGAGUGGAAGGUCACCUAGUGUUUCGUGGCUUGGGGCCAAUGCAUAGAUCUUCUUUUGCAUAUGCUCAUCAGGUAAAACCUCCUUUUUGGAAUUUUCAGGCACUUAUUUGCAUCUAAUGGUGCUAAAAAGUCAAGUUUACAACUUUCCAAUCUCCUGUGUGGAAUACCACUCAUUUGAGAUAGUGAGGAAAAUAGGAGUAAAGCUGGUGGGGGCAGAGUUGGCCAUUGGGAAGGCAUAGAAAUAUUAGGCCACUAGAAGCAUGAAUAAAUGGGUCUUCAACUUCUUCAGAAGCAGCAUAGCACAUUGGAAAAAGCAGGGGCAGUGGUAUCAGAUUGACCUGGGUUCUACUUGCAACUCAGCCACACAUCAGCUGUGUCCACAGGCAAGUUGCUAGCCUUGGUUUCCUUAUCUGUAUAAUGGAGAUGAUAAUAUCUACUCUCAUAACUUUGGUGUCAAAAUUUAAUCAGAUAACAUAUGAAAACACUAGGAUGGGAACUAGGUCUCAGGUAGGUGCCAAAUACGUAUCGGUUUUCCUCCCCUCUUUUUAUCCUUUUCCUGCUCAGCCACCCUGAAAAUGACUAUCGGCUUCCCCGUCUUCCUUCACUACAGCAGCAGAAACUCAGUUACUGUUCUAAUCUGCCCUCUUUCUGCUUUGCCGAGCAGGUUGUGAAUAUCUGAGUGUGGGACUGGAACUUGACCAGACCCUCCACCCUCAUAACUCCAUCAGUGGGACACCAUCUCUUUCUUAGAUGAUGCUGGAUGCCAGAAGAUGAGGAGACUGGAGGCACCAGGAAGAAAUCUCAUUUUAAUCUAUUUUAAUUAAAGUACUAAAAGUGGAGAUGUGGAAGUUUUCCUUUCAUUCCCUGCCCCCACACAUCAGCCCUUGGGAGCUCUUUUGCUUGUUAUUACCCAGUGAAUGUGCACACCACCAUUGCUCCCAUCAUUCAUUCCUUCUUACGUGGAAUUUCCUUUUCAGUGGUGGACAAGCCACUUAGCAUACUGGGGAGAGAACUGAAAGAGGAGUGGGAAGUAUUGGUUUCAAAGUUUUAAUCAUGACAUUUUUAUCAAACUUUCACCUAGUGUCAGAGUCUUUGGUAGAUGCAAAGAAAACAGAGAAAUAAUACGUGGUUUCUGCCCAGAGGGAGAUAAUAUUCAUGAAGGAGAGUGUAGCUCUAGGAUCUUGGAACCUGACACCAAAGUGAUGUGAAGAUGGAGGCCAGGGCUCCAGGGUGUGAGCAAGUCGGCAGAGGAGCUAGGAGCCUAGGAUGCCCUCCAGAAGCACCCAGCAUGGUGGUGAAGCACUUGGGCUUGGAGUCAGAAAGACCAGAAUACUGUAAUCCAGACUCCACCACCUACUAAUUGUGAUCUUGGGCAUAUUGCUUACCUUGCUGAGUCUUGAUUUCUUCCUACUUCUAAUGGAAAUUUUAAUGUCAUGCCCCUCACUGGGCUCUUUAAAAGAUGAAAUGAGAUAAAUGGCAAGUGCACAGCACAGUGUCUGACAAAAAGUACCGAUGAACCACAAAUGUUCCGUCAUCAUUGUUGCCACCAUCGUUGUCUUCGAGAGACUGGGAAGAGUUAGACUACAGGCUGAGGGAGUAAUAAAGGAAGGACAAGAAAGACAAUAUCAGGAGCCUCACCUGCAGCAUCUCUGCUCUCAGAGUGCCCCUUCUGAAACCAGUAAUGCCAAAGGAAAGUAUUAAGAGUAGAAGAAGAGAGAUGUAAAGGAUGAAUGAAAUAUUGAUUUUAUCCUUAUGGAGACUCAGCUGAUUUUGAUGCUUCUGACAUUAGUUUGCUGACCGGAUUUGGACUCGAAUAUCUUGUGUUCCUGACUCCGGCUUGAAAACUGAGUUCAGAACUCUUACUGUUCCCACUUAAACCAUUUACUUCUAGUACCAAUCUGUAUCAUUUUCAAUCAUAUCCUAGUAAUCUGACAUAGACUGAUAAACUUAGUUGAGUUGAUUUCAGUUCUCCUGACCCUGGACUCUAUCUUGAUUCAAAUUAGGCCAGCCACAGUGAUUAACCUGGAGAAGUCAAUUCUCCUUUCUUGAAACUUGGAUUUGUGUUAGUUCCCUAAGCAAUGAUAUGAAACAACUUAUGUUGACUGAAGAGAGAUCAAACAGUAAAGCGAGUCAUAGCAAAAGUGCACUUUGUGCCCCAUCCACUGCUUCCAAAGUUUGAUCAAUUCUAAAUUAUGUAGGAUGAAAGCCUCCGAUAGAUUAUAGUAAUGACAGCUUAUCCAUUUCUAAUGGGUUCCAGGUGCCUCCUCCAUGCCUCAUUAAUAGGAUAUACUUCAAUAUUCCAAAGUCAUAGUUCCCAGGAGGAACCCCAAUCAGAGGAAUCAGCUGCAUUCUGACGUCUGGAUGGGAUUGAAAUGUUUGUACUUGAAUAACAUAGUUGCUGCAACACAUGCACACAGUCACUUAUAGGCAUGUCAAGACAAGAAAAGGCAUAGAGGAAGAUAGUUUAUGCUAUUGAGUGCCUACUGUGUGCAAGGCACUGAAUUACAUGUAUUUGGGGAGGGUACAUGGAGAGGGUAAGCAAAGAAGAGCAAGGCGCUGUCCCUGUCUUGAAAGACCUCAGCGUCUAAUGUGAAAGAAGGAUAUACAGAUGCUUAUAAAAGAAGGUGGUAAAAUUUAGCCAUAGAGAUAUGAAUAGGGAUGACUAAGGAGGAGAGAUGGAGACUUUCUGGAGGAGGUGACACAUGAGCUUGGUAGGAGGAGUAGGAGUUUGUCAGUCAAAGGUUGAUGACUGAUUGGGGUGGAGGUGUCAUGCAGCUUUUAGACACAUGGCUUAGCUUCAGCAAAGACAUGAAAUUUAGUAUAUAUACUAAUUUACAUGCAUAUAUACAUUAAUGUAUACAUAUUAAUAUGCUGCAUAUUUAUAGCAAUAAUAUGUUCAGGAUUUUUGUGGGGG